Molecule: ribosomal RNA, 407 nt
Filed under: uncultured Bicosoecida
Lineage: Eukaryota; Bigyra; Bicosoecida
Description: partial small subunit ribosomal RNA
Rfam family: Eukaryotic small subunit ribosomal RNA
Source: RNAcentral
GCUUGUCUCAAAGAUUAAGCCAUGCAUGUCUAAGUAUAAAUAAUUCUAUACUGUGAAACUGCGAAUGGCUCAUUAUAUCAGUUAUAGUUUAUUUGAUAGUCCCUUACUACUUGGAUAACCGUAGUAACUCUAGAGCUAAUACAUGCGCAAAUUCCCGACUGUCGCAAGGCGGAAAGGAUGUAUUUAUUAGAUCCAACCAGCCCGGUUCGCCGGAGUCCCUGGUGAGUCAUAAUAACCGAACGAAUCGUAUGGCAUCAGCUGGCGAUGAAUCAUUCAAGUUUCUGACCUAUCAGCUUCCGACGGUAGGGUAUUGGCCUACCGUGGCAAUGACGGGUAACGGAGAAUUAGGGUUCGAUUCCGGAGAGGGAGCCUGAGAAACGGCUACCACAUCUAAGGAAGGCAGCAGG